UCGUAGAACGAUGCUAGACC
This 20-nucleotide microRNA is filed under the name Marchantia polymorpha subsp. ruderalis. The record is from RNAcentral. Lineage: Eukaryota; Viridiplantae; Streptophyta; Marchantiopsida; Marchantiales; Marchantiaceae.